GGCUCCAUAGUGUUGUGGUUAGCCUUUCUGCUUUACACGCAGAAGUUUCUGGGUUCGCACUACAAGUGGAGCCA
Molecule: transfer RNA, 74 nt
Filed under: Pteropus alecto (black flying fox)
Lineage: Eukaryota; Metazoa; Chordata; Mammalia; Chiroptera; Pteropodidae
Source: Rfam by way of RNAcentral